Melanotaenia boesemani (Boeseman's rainbowfish) is the source of this 2661-nucleotide long non-coding RNA. RefSeq lists it as uncharacterized. The transcript has 3 exons. The record is from RefSeq and is a predicted model, not a curated record. Lineage: Eukaryota; Metazoa; Chordata; Actinopteri; Atheriniformes; Melanotaeniidae.
UUUCACAUGAACAGUGGCAUGCGUGGCGCGGCUGCAGCGCUCGAGGUGCCCCACCCCCCCGCGCCACACAGACCAUGUGCAGGCUUCCUAUGUUGGACUUUUUCAAAACGAACACAGUGUACAGUGCGUCCAAACGCAGACAGGCCGUCCCCAAAGUAAAACCCACAUCCCGAUCAGCUGCAGGCCUUUAACAACUCCAGCACCUCCCUCGGCUUCGAGCCCCCCCACAUCAGCGACUAUGAUCAUCAGACUGGGCAGACUGACACCUGGAUACUUCCGCCUCCUCCAGAGGCAAGUUGCCGGUGAGGUGCAAACACAGCCACAAGACCGUGCUGUCAACCAGAUAGCCAUGAUGCUGGCCAUCAUGGGCCUGAGUUUGUCCUACUACAGUGCCAAACAAAUGACGGAGAAGGUCCAUGCUGCUGAACCCACACCCUGAAUAGACUUGACUGCUCCGAUUCUGGAGACCAUGGAUGAACCAAUGAGUAGCGGAGGAGGUGGAGUGAGCAAGCAGCAGUGGAGACAUGGCGACGUCUCUCAGAUCGCACUUUUCUCACCUCAGUCACACUCAGGCAGAGCUUUCAGGGCUGCUGCUCCCUGUUUUCUAUGCUUUGUCACCAGGGCCUUCAGGGGUUUGCGGGGGGAAUGGCUCACUCUGGGUCGUGGAGAGGACUGGUUUUAUUAACUGGUUUGGGUGGGUUAUUUGAAACCAGCUGACUGCCAACUGGGUCUGAACAUUAGUCAUUAUAAAGGUACAUGCUUGCAAGAUGCCAUCAAUACUGUUCUUAGCUAUAAAAAGGUGUAAAACCUCAACUGUGAAAUGUGUCCAAAAAGGGUUCAAUUAAAGGAACAGUUAAAACUUUUUUUUUUUUUUUUUUUUUUUAGGAAGGCUGACUGCAACUGAGCUGUAUCUUGUAAUGAAGUGAUGGCAGACCCACAUUGAAAAGGGGAUGAAAAGUUAGAUUUACCCAUAUUUUUUUUUUUUUCUUUUAGGAUUUUUGCUUUGCUCCAAGAGAACCUUUCAGAACCUUCCGAUCAGAUCAGUAGCUGUAUUCAUUCAUCAAUAUAUAUACAUGUGAACUGUAUCUGUCAGGUGAAUAUUUGCACAAAACUGCUGAAACCUUUGAAAAUGCAACAGUGGAUCUGCAAAGGGACUUCGAACUACUCACUGUUUUUUGUUUUGUGAUUUCCUUGUUUUAACAAUCCUAUAAAGUCUUGUUUGUGUGAUUAUGUUCAUGCAGGAUCUACUAAUAAUGCAAACAUUUAACUUUACUGAAAUGCAUGUGCGUGCCGAUCUUUUAAUCAAAGAAAAUUCAUGAUUCUUGUUUUUAUUGAUGGAUGAAUGUAUCUUUCUUUUGUAAUGAUUUAAUAAAGCUGUGAAUAUUUUGAAAGAGAUGUACAGUGGAUGUUUUGAUAUUUUGAGUUGAAACAAUCCGAGCUGGGUUCGUACAGUCCUGAGGUUGGCACACGCUGCAGAGCAGAAAUAUUUCCUGCAUCAGAAUAUUCUGUGGCGUCGUCUGCACGCAACAGGAUGUGGUUAGUCUGUUGCACGCGUUCUGUCUCCUGAGUGAUGCAGCAUUUUUUUUUUUUUUUAAAUGAUGGCAGCAUGCAUGUUAGAAGAAAGUUGGCGAUGUUAAAAUCUUUAGUUUCAAGAAGCGCUGUUCUCCUCUACUCAACCUUGGAUUAUAGUGUGAGCUUCUAAUGAAACGAAGGAAGAUUUUACGUUAGAUCAUUGAUCACCCUUUGGAUAUCACUGUAACUUCCUCAUAUGGUCAUCAGGAUCUAAAUUUAAACGUUUUUCAGAGAAUUUUUCAGUGCUUCUUUGCACAUUGUCUGUCUUUUGCAGGGCAUUGGGUUUAGAACGUAUGCAUGGCUGCUCAGAGGCUGAUGUGAUUCCCAGUGACAGUCCUAGAACUCGUUGGGCACCACGUGCCCCCUCUGCCCACGCCACAAGCCCCUCCUCGUUCUAUAACCCUUGCAUGUCAUUGGGUAAAAAAAAUCCUCACUUUGGUGUCUCAGUGAUGCCAGUGUGAGGACAUAACCCCUAACCAAGAGCGCCUAUUGGUUAACCGGUGACGCGUCAUAAUAAUCGGCCUGGUUCUGAGCCAUGGAGACAAAAGGAUGGGGAUAAGGUCAUUGGUGAGGAAUGCGGAUGGGAGGAUCAGUGUGUAUUUCAACACAAAGAUACUCAAAUGGUAUAAAGAAAAAUUAAAUGAAGCUGAGUAAGAGAAGUUUUUGUAGACGUUUUGAGCAAAAGUGCUUUAGGCAAGAACGACUGGGUUGAAUUCAAAGCUGCAGCAGGCGCAAACAAGACUGAUGCUCAUUCUCUGAUUGUUUCAUUUAUUCAUUCACUGUCAUCUAAAACAAGCACUUAUGAUCAAUAUUCUCAACUUGCAAUAAAAAUCAUUGUACUGUAUCUUUUGUGGGGGUGCAGGUUGCUGCCCUUCCAUGUAUGUUGGUUUAAAACAAGUUGCACAGUUGUGAGGAAAUAUUGUUUUGGUUGAUAAAUGUAAAGCUGAUGGAGUUUUUAUUUUAUAUCAAUAAAUACCGAAUGUCUUCCAUAUGGGGGGAGCGCCUGAGCGUAAUUGGCUCCCCCACAUGGUUAUAAGGAUAUUUCUUGUUUUACUGCUGCUUUAUGUUUGAAAUAAACUUGAGAACAAA